GUCUGGCCUAACGAUGAAUACUUGGUGUCUGGAGUCUAUAUGCUCCGGGUGCCGUCGCUAACGUUUUAGUUAUUCCGCCUGGGGAGUACGCUCGCAAGAGUGAAACUCAAAGGAAUUGACGGGGACCCCGCACAAGCGGUGGAGCAUGUGGUUUAAUUCGACGCAACGCGAAGAACCUUACCUAGGCUAGAAUGUGAGGGAAGAGAGGGUAAUUCCGAUCGCCAGUUUACUGGCCCAAACAAGGUGCUGCAUGGCUGUCGU
Molecule: ribosomal RNA, 261 nt
Filed under: uncultured bacterium
Lineage: Bacteria
Description: partial 16S ribosomal RNA
Rfam family: Bacterial small subunit ribosomal RNA
Source: RNAcentral